GACAGGGUGCAUAAUGGUUAGAGUAUUGCACUAAAGUUGGAGAAACCAUGGUUCAAAUCCACACUCAGUCA
Molecule: non-coding RNA, 71 nt
Organism: Phrynosoma platyrhinos (Desert horned lizard)
Lineage: Eukaryota; Metazoa; Chordata; Lepidosauria; Squamata; Phrynosomatidae
Source: the annotation of a GenBank genome assembly